Molecule: long non-coding RNA, 10359 nt
Filed under: Salmo salar (Atlantic salmon)
Lineage: Eukaryota; Metazoa; Chordata; Actinopteri; Salmoniformes; Salmonidae
Description: lncRNA (ENSSSAG00000099575.1)
Source: RNAcentral
AUUAGCUCCGCGCUGCAGACAUCAUUAGGAGUGGAGGGAGACGAUUCCACCGUCAGCGCAGGAACAGGAAGCCCUGGCAACAAGGAGAGACCGCUCUUACCAGACCAUUACACCGUACAGUAAGUCCUAGCUCUGUCUAUACUCUUAGUCUGUGUCAUUUUUUUUGUGUCACUUUUUUCUUUGCUAAGCGGUAGAGGUAGAGAAAAUGGCUGGAACUGGAAGGAAGGCGUACGCGCAAAGAGAGCGUUCGUUUAUUUCCAAAGCCUUUGAAAAUGUUUACUUCGCACUCUGACCUAUUUUAUUUGUGCCCGGAGCAUAGACGGUUGUUUGUGGUUUACAGUCAUGCACUUGUCAUUUCGAACAAAAAUGCAAACGAACUAUUAAGUUUGACACAAGAGCGCGGUGGUUUCGCGGACUUGAAAACGAGCAAGGAGUGUUUCACAGGCGGGUUGGUGUGUAGGACAGGCAAGCUAACUGCGCCACCCCAACCAGAAACAUUGCAUAAAGAAUAGUAAAAUACAUAUUUAUAGUAUAGCCUUCAACCGUCCACUUUUAAAAUGGUUGUGGUACGUGAGUAGCCUACGUGGCCGUAUGUCCACUCAUGCGACACAUUUUAGUUUCUAAUUCCAUCGCGGAAGUGUUUUAUAUUCUUCAAAAACAGGGCAAACCAACUAACCCUAGUCCACCUAAUGUAACCGGCGUCAUUAUACAAACACAUAGUACACGACAUGCCCUUUCAUUUGGGGGGGAGAAAAUGUUAUCUACUCGGUUAGGCUACAAUCGCUUUUCAUUGACGCUGGCUGGUUUGUAAAGGACAUUGGGUCUCCUGAAUGUGUCUAGUGAUUGCUCGACUACCCGUGGCGUGAUGUCACUCAUCCCAGCUUUGGUGGUUAUAUAACAGGACUGUAGGGAUCCCGGGUUGUGAUAGCGAGGUAUUUAUACUCUGUUUACAGUCAGGAAUUGCACAAUGCAUAGUAAGAUUGGCAUAGUAAAACCUGUCUUCCCAAGAGGAUAGGCUACAGACUGCUACAUGCCACCACCACUACACUGUUAUUACAUGCUUACAUUUGAUCCAGUAUCUACAAACGAAGGUGGUUGGUCAAAGAGUGUUUCAAUGUUGCCGAAAUAAAAAAACAUUAUGCUGUAAAAUGUUACAGUAACUUUGCAAUGAAGGACACUUGAUACUGCGAAAUUAUUUUUCAACAACAUGCAAGCCUGCAGUAAAACAAGAAUACACGUUGUCGUACUUUAGCGUACACCAGCUUGCUUAUGAGCAUAAUAAUGCAUAUUAAAAAAAACAUGUCUGGAGGCCGUUUUGCAAUGCAGUAACAUGACAAGAGGUGAAGUAUUUGUUGCACCUCUGUAUCCAAUAAAAAAAUGAAGAUUGGUUGGAUCACAAUUAUAAUCACAAUCUUGAUGAUCUUAUUUGUUGUGAAAUUGACUGAUAUUACUUGUUAGAUAUUACUUGACAGAUAUUACUUGUUAGAUAUUACUUGUUAGAUAUUACUUGACAGAUAUUACUUGUUAGAUAUUACUUGUUAGAUAUUACUUGACAGAUAUUACUUGAUAGAUAUUACUUGAUAGAUAUUACUUGACAGAUAUUACUUGUUAGAUAUUACUUGAUAGAUAUUACUUGAUAGAUACUGCUGCACUGUCGGAACUAGAAGCACAAGCAUUUCGCUACACUCGCAAUAACAUCUGCUAACCAUGUGUAUGUGACCAAUUUGAUUUGAUUUGAUUUUGAUGAUAAUAUAUCAUGUUUCAUCUCAAUACCUGAUAGGCCUAUGUGUUGUUUAUGUAUGCUAAUAUUUUUCAUUAUGUUGUUGCACAUACAGAGGCUUACCAUUGUUCAGUGUAUACAGUUCUCUGUACUCUGUACUGUGGAUGGCUGCUGCUAUGGAGUUGACAUUUAGACUAGGUUGUCAUUUCACCACAGAGCUUCUGUAUAUAACCUGUGUAUAUAACCUUGCCCAUUUAAACCUGUACUCUGCAGGCCACGGAACCACAUUGUUUAUUUAUGUACCUUGUCUUCUUGGUAGUGUAGUAUGAGGUGGGUAGGUUUGUGGCGGCUGAUUGACCAGUGAUAGUGUAGUAUGAGGUGGGUAGGUUUGUGGCGGCUGAUUGACCAGUGAUAGUGUAGUAUGAGGUGGGUAAGUUUGUGGCGGCUGAUUGACCAGUGAUAGUGUAGUAUGAGGUGGGUAAGUUUGUGGCGGCUGAUUGACCAGUGAUAGUGUAGUAUGAGGUGGGUAAGUUUGUGGCGGCUGACCAGUGAUAGUGUAGUUUGAGGUGGGUAGGUUUGUAGCGGCUGAUCAGUGAUAGUGUAGUUUGAGGUGGGUAGGUUUGUGGUGGCUGAUCAGUGAUAGUGUAGUAUGAGGUGGGUAGGUUUGUGGCAGCUGGCUGACCAAUGAUAGUGUAGUUUGAGGUGGGUAGGUUUGUGGCGGCUGAUCAGUGAUAGUGUAGUUUGAGGUGGGUAGGUUUGUGGCUGCUGUUUGACCAGUGAUAGUGUAGUUUGAGGUGGGUAGGUUUGGGGCGGCAGGCUGACCAGUGAUAGUGUAGUUUGAGUUGGGUGGGUUUGUGGUGGCUGGCUGGCUGACCAGUGAUAGUGUAGUUUGAGGAGGGUAGGUUUGUGGCGGCUGGCUGACCAGUGAUAGUGUAGUUUGAGGUGGGUAGGUUUGUGGCGGCUGACUGACCAGUGAUAGUGUAGUUUGAGUUGGGUAGGUUUGUGGCGGCUGACCAGUGACAGUGUAGUUUGAGGUGGGUAGGUUUGUGGCGGCUGAUUGACCAGUGAUAGUGUAGUUUGAAGUGGUUAGGUUUGUGGCUGCUGACUGACCAGUGAUAGUGUAGUAUGAGGUGGGUAGGUUUGCGACAGCUGACCAGUGAUAGUUUAGUAUGAGGUGGGUAGGUUUGUGGUGGCUGGCCAAUGAUAGUGUAGUUUGAGGUGGGUAGGUUUGUGGCGGCUGACUGACCAGUGAUAGUGUAGUUUGAGGUGGGUAGGUUUGUGGCGGCUGACCAGUGAUAGUGUAGUAUGAGGUGGGUAGGUUUGUUGCGGCUGACCAAUGAUAGUGUAGUUUGAGGUGGGUAGGUUUGUGGCGGCUGAUUGACCAGUGAUAGUGUAGUUUGAGGUGGGUAGGUUUGUGGCGGCUGACUGACCAGUGAUAGUGUAGUAUGAGGUGGGUAGGUUUGUGGCGGCUGAUUGACCAGUGAUAGUGUAGUAUGAGGUGGGUAGGUGUGUGGCGGCUGGCUGACCAGUGAUAGUGUAGUUUGAGGUGGGUAGGUUUGUGGCUGCUGACCAGUGAUAGUGUAGUUUGAGGUGGGUAGGUUUGUGGCGGCUGAUUGACCAGUGAUAGUGUAGUUUGAAGUGGGUAGGUUUGUGGCGGCUGGCUGACCAGUGAUAGUGUAGUUUGAGGUGGGUAGGUUUGUGGCGGCUGGCUGACCAGUGAUAGUGUAGUAUGAGGUAGGUAGGUUUGUGGCGGCUGAUUGACCAGUGAUAGUGUAGUUUGAAGUGGUUAGGUUUGUGGCGGCUGGCUGACCAGUGAUAGUGUAGUAUGAGAUGGGUAGGUUUGUGGCGGCUGACCAAUGAUAGUGUAGUAUGAGGUGGGUAGGUUUGUGGCGGCUGAUUGACCAGUGAUAGUGUAGUAUGAGGUGGGUAGGUGUGUGGCGGCUUGCUGACCAGUGAUAGUGUAGUUUGAGGUGGGUAGGUUUGUGGCGGCUGACUGACCAGUGAAGUGUAGUUUGAGGUGGGUAGGUGUGGGGCAGCUGGCUGACCAGUGAUAGUGUAGUAUGAGGUGGGUAGGUUUGUGGCGGCUGACCAAUGAUAGUGUAGUAUGAGGUGGGUAGGUUUGUGGCGGCUGAUUGACCAGUGAUAGUGUAGUAUGAGGUGGGUAGGUGUGUGGCGGCUUGCUGACCAGUGAUAGUGUAGUUUGAGGUGGAUAGGUUUGUUGCUGCUGACCAGUGAUAGUGUAGUUUGAGGUGGGUAGGUUUGUGGCGGCUGAUUGACCAGUGAUAGUGUAGUUUGAAGUGGGUAGGUUUGUGGCAGCUGACUGACCAGUGAUAGUGUAGUAUGAGGUGGGUAGGUUUGUGGCGGCUGACCAGAAAUAGUGUAGUAUGAGGUGGGUAGGUUUGUUGCGGCUGACCAAUGAUAGUGUAGUUUGAGGUGGGUAGGUUUGUGGCGGCUGACCAGUGAUAGUGUAGUAUGAGGUGGGUAGGUUUGUGGCGGCUGGCUGACCAGUGAUAGUGUAGUUUGAAGUGGGUAGGUUUGUGGCAGCUGACUGACCAGUGAUAGUGUAGUAUGAGGUGGGUAGGUUUGUGGCGGCUGACCAGAAAUAGUGUAGUAUGAGGUGGGUAGGUUUGUGGCGGCUGAUUGACCAGUGAUAGUGUAGAAUGAGGUGGGUAGGUGUGUGGCAGCUGUGCAACCAGUGAUAGUGUAGUUUGAGGUGGGUAGGUGUGUGGCGGCUUGGCAACCAGUGAUAGUGUAGUAUGAGAUGGGUAGGUUUGUGGCGGCUUACCAAUGAUAGUGUAGUAUGAGGUGGGUAGGUUUGUGGCGGCUUAUCAGUGAUAGUGUUAUAUGAGGUGGGUAGGUUUGUGGCGGCUGACUGACCAGUGAAGUGUAGUUUGAGGUGGGUAGGUGUGUGGCAGCUGGCUGACCAGUGAUAGUGUAGUAUGAGGUGGGUAGGUUUGUGGCGACUGACCAAUGAUAGUGUAGUAUGAGGUGGGUAGGUUUGUGGCGGCUGGCUGACCAGUGAUAGUGUAGUUUGAGGUGGGUAGGUUUGUGGCGGCUGGCUGACCAGUGAUAGUGUAGUUUGAGGUGGGUAGGUUUGUGGCGGCUGGCUGACCAGUGAUUGUGUAGUUUGGGGUGGGUAGGUUUGUGGCGGCUGGCUGAACAGUGAUAGUAUAGUUUGAGGUUGGUUGUUUUGUAGCGGCUGGCUGACCAGUUAUAGUGUAGUUUGAAGUGGGUGGGUUUGUGGCGGCUGACCAAUGAUAGUGUAGUAUGAGGUGGGUAGGUUUGUGGCAGCUGGCUGACGAGUGAUAGUGUAGUUUGAGGUGGGUAGGUUUGUGGCGGCUAACCAGUGAUAGUGUAGUAUGAGGUGGGUAGGUUUGUGGCGGCUGACCAAUGAUAGUGUAGUAUGAGGUGGGUAGGUUUGUGGCAGCUGGCUGACCAGUGAUAGUGUAGUUUGAGGUGGGUAGGUUUGUGGUGGCUGACCAGUGAUAGUGUAGUUUGAGGUGGGUAGAUUUGUGGCGGCUGACCAGUGAUAGUGUAGUUUGAGGUGGGUAAGUUUCUGGCGGCUGACUGACCAGUGAUAGUGUAGUAUGAGGUGGGUAGGUUUGUGGCGGCUGGCUGACCAUUGAUAGUGUAGUUUGAGGUGGGUAGGUUUGUGGCGGCUGACCAGUGAUAGUGUAGUUUGAGGUGGGUAGGUUUGUGGCGGCUGAUUGACCAGUGAUAGUGUAGUUUGAGGUGGGUGUGUUUGUGGAGGCUGACUGACCAGUGAUAGUGUAGUAUGAGGUGGGUAGGUUUGUGGCGGCUGACCAAUGAUAGUGUAGUAUGAGGUGGGUAGGUUUGUGGCAGCUGGCUGACCAGUGAUAGUGUAGUUUGAGGUGGGUAGGUUUGUGGCGGCUGACCAAUGAUAGUGUAGUUUGAGGUGGGUAGGUUUGUGGCGGCUGAUUGACCAGUGAUCGUGUAGUAUGAGGUGGGUAGGUUUGUGGCGGCUGACUGACCACAAAUAGUGUACUUUGUGGUGGGUAUGUUUGUGGCGGCUGACCAGUGAUAGUGUAGUUAGAGGUGGGUAGGUUUGUGCCCGCUGACCAGUGGUAGUGUAGUUUGAGGUGGGUAGGUUUGUGCCCGCUGACCAGUGAUAGUGUAGUUUGAGGUGGGUAUGUUUGUGGCUGCUGACUAACCAGUGAUAGUGUAGUUUGAGGUGGGUAGGUUUGUGGCGGCUGUCUUACCAGUGGUAGUGUAGUUUGAGGUGGGUAGGUUUCUGGCGGCUGACUGACCAGUGGUAGUGUAGUUUGAGGUGGGUAGGUUUGUGGCGGCUAGCUGACCAGUGAUUGUGUAGUUUGGGGUGGGUAGGUUUGUGGCGGCUGGCUGAACAGUGAUAGUAUAGUUUGAGGUUGGUUGUUUUGUAGCGGCUGGCUGACCAGUUAUAGUGUAGUUUGAAGUGGGUAGGUUUGUGGCGGCUGACCAGUGUUAGUGUAGUUUGAGGUGGGUAGGUUUGUGGCGGCUGAUUGACCAGUGAUAGUGUAGUUUGAGGUGGGUAGGUUUGUGGCGGCUGACUGAUCAGUGAUAGUGUAGUAUGAGGUGGGUAGGUUUGUGGCGGCUGACCAAUGAUAGUGUAGUAUGAGGUGGGUAGGUUUGUGGCAGCUGGCUGACGAGUGAUAGUGUAGUUUGAGGUGGGUAGGUUUGUGGCGGCUAACCAGUGAUAGUGUAGUAUGAGGUGGGUAGGUUUGUGGCGGCUGACCAAUGAUAGUGUAGUAUGAGGUGGGUAGGUUUGUGGCAGCUGGCUGACCAGUGAAGUGUAGUUUGAGGUGGGUAGGUUUGUGGCAGCUGGCUGACCAGUGAUAGUGUAGUUUGAGGUGGUAGGUUUGUGGUGGCUGACCAGUGAUAGUGUAGUUUGAGGUGGGUAGAUUUAUGGCGGCUGACCAGUGAUAGUGUAUUAUGAGGUGGGUAGGUUUGUGGCGGCUGAUUGACCAGUGAUAGUGUAGUAUGAGGUGGGUAGGUUUGUGGCAGCUGGCUGACCAGUGAUAGUGUAGUUUGAGGUGAGUAGGUUUGUGGCGGCUGACCAAUGAUAGUGUAGUUUGAGGUGGAUAGGUUUGUGGCGGCUGAUUGACCAGUGAUAGUGUAGUAUGAGGUGGGUAGGUUUGUGGCGGCUGACUGAACACAAAUAGUGUACUUUUUGGUGGGUAUGUUUGUGGCGGCUGACCAGUGAUAGUGUAGUUUGAGGUGGGUAGGUUUGUGCCCGCUGACCAGUGGUAGUGUAGUUUGAGGUGGGUAGGUUUGUGCCCGCUGACCAGUGAUAGUGUAGUUUGAGGUGGGUAUGUUUGUGGCGGCUGACUAACCAGUGAUAGUGUAGUUUGAGGUGGGUAGGUUUGUGGCGGCUGUCUUACCAGUGGUAGUGUAGUUUGAGGUGGGUAGGUUUGUGGCGGCUGACUGACCAGUGGUAGUGUAGUUUGAGGUGGGUAGGUUUGUGGCGGCUAGCUGACCAGUGAUUGUGUAUUUUGGGGUGGGUAGGUUUGUGGCGGCUGGCUGAACAGUGAUAGUAUAGUUUGAGGUUGGUUGUUUUGUAGCGGCUGGCUGACCAGUUAUAGUGUAGUUUAAGGUGGGUAGGUUUGUGGCGGCUGAUUGACCAGUGAUAGUGUAGUUUGAGGUGGGUAGGUUUGUGGCGGCUGACUGAUCAGUGAUAGUGUAGUAUGAGGUGGGUAGGUUUGUGGCGGCUGACCAAUGAUAGUGUAGUAUGAGGUGGGUAGGUUUGUGGCAGCUGGCUGACGAGUGAUAGUGUAGUUUGAGGUGGGUAGGUUUGUGGCGGCUGACCAAUGAUAGUGUAGUAUGAGGUGGGUAGGUUUGUGGCAGCUGGCUGACCAGUGAAGUGUAGUUUGAGGUGGGUAGGUUUGUGGCAGCUGGCUGACCAGUGAUAGUGUAGUUUGAGGUGGGAAGGUUUGUGGCGGCUGACUGACCAGUGAUAGUGUAGUUUGAGGUGGGUAGGAUUGUGGUGGCUGACCAGUGAUAGUGUAGUUUGAGGUGGGUAGAUUUGUGGCGGCUGACCAGUGGUAGUGUAUUAUGAGGUGGGUAGGUUUGUGGCGGCUGAUUGACCAGUGAUAGUGUAGUAUGAGGUGGGUAGGUUUGUGGCGGCUGACCAAUGAUAGUGUAGUAUGAGGUGGGUAGGUUUGUGGCAGCUGGCUGACGAGUGAUAGUGUAGUUUGAGGUGGGUAGGUUUGUGGCGGCUGACCAAUGAUAGUGUAGUAUGAGGUGGGUAGGUUUGUGGCAGCUGGCUGACCAGUGAAGUGUAGUUUGAGGUGGGUAGGUUUGUGGCAGCUGGCUGACCAGUGAUAGUGUAGUUUGAGGUGGGAAGGUUUGUGGCGGCUGACUGACCAGUGAUAGUGUAGUUUGAGGUGGGUAGGAUUGUGGUGGCUGACCAGUGAUAGUGUAGUUUGAGGUGGGUAGAUUUAUGGCGGCUGACCAGUGAUAGUGUAUUAUGAGGUGGGUAGGUUUGUGGCGGCUGAUUGACCAGUGAUAGUGUAGUAUGAGGUGGGUAGAUUUGUGGCGGCUGACCAAUGAUAGUGUAGUUUGAGGUGGGUAGGUUUGUGGCGGCUGACCAGUGAUAGUGUAGUUUGAGGUGGGUAGGUUUGUGGCGGCUGAUUGACCAGUGAUAGUGUAGUUUGAGGUGGGUGUGUUUGUGGAGGCUGACUGACCAGUGAUAGUGUAGUAUGAAGUGGGUAGGUUUGUGGCGGCUGACCAAUGAUAGUGUAGUAUGAGGUGGGUAGCUUUGUGGCAGCUGGCUGACCAGUGAUAGUGUAGUUUGAGGUGGGUAGGUUUGUGGCGGCUGACCAAUGAUAGUGUAGUUUGAGGUGGGUAGGUUUGUGGCGGCUGAUUGACCAGUGAUAGUGUAGUAUGAGGUGGGUAGGUUUGUGGCGGCUGACUGACCACAAAUAGUGUACUUUGUGGUGGGUAUGUUUGUGGCGGCUGACCAGUGAUAGUGUAGUAUGAGGUGGGUAGGUUUGUGCCCGCUGACCAGUGGUAGUGUAGUUUGAGGUGGGUAGGUUUGUGCCCGCUGACCAGUGAUAGUGUAGUUUGAGGUGGGUAUGUUUGUGGCGGCUGACUAACCAGUGGUAGUGUAGUUUGAGGUGGGUAGUUUUCUGGCGGCUGACUGACCAGUGGUAGUGUAGUUUGAGGUGGGUAGGUUUGUGGCCGCUGGCUGACCAGUUAGUGUGGAGUGCUUCAGGGCACCACAGGUUUAAACUGCAUGGUCUCUACCAGUUCAGUUCACCUGAUGGUGGUGAAUCCCUCUAUAGCACAUAUUACCACUCUUCUAUUUUAGAUAUAAAAUUGAACCUUUAUUUAACUAGGCAAGUCAGUUAAGAACAAACUCUUAUUUACAAUGACGGCCUAACCCGGCCGAUGCUGGGACAAAUUGUGCGCCGCCGUAUGGGACUCCCAAUCACGACCUGUUGUGAUACAGCCUGGAAUCGAGCCAUGGUCUGUAGUGACACCUCUAGCACUGAGAGACAGUGCCUUAGACUGCUGCUCCACUCAGGAGAUAUGUGAAUGAUGCAGGCUAGGGGUACGUUCAUUCGUCCAAAUGUUUGAGAUGUUUUCAAAACCUAUUUUCAAUCUGAAUGGUAGAAGACAAAUAGUGCCAUGAUUAUUUCCUGACCAUGUCACCUGACCAGGGACAAACUCCUAGCCCCUAGCUAGUUAUUACCCAUUAACUACAAUUUGUGGCCAGAGUUUUUCCUGGUCAGAUGACAUGGUCAGCAGGAAAAACUCAGCAUCAUUAUUUCAGCAACCAUAACGUCUUCUCUAAAAACCUUUCAAAAUGUUUCUUCCAACGGGGAGCUAAUGAACGCGACCCUAUCCGUUGUGCAGGGAUCUAAUCAUGUGACGGGGAAUUAGGGGGCUGCCAUUUCUCCCUGCACUUCCCUUUGAUCCUGUCCGCCACACACACACACACACACACACACACACACACACACACACACACACACACACACACACACACACACGUAUGCACAGCAUCUCCAACUCACACAUUUAUGCUACCGUGCAUGUGUGCAAAAUGAAGAAAAACGUGAUACACCUUGCCUUUAAAGUGAGGGCUGGGUUUUGAAGUGCCCGGUCUUGCCCUGACUUCCGGAGAUAUUUCCAGGUAUUGUCUGGGUAGGCUAGUCUUUCAUGGUUGACUGAGAGAGUGAUAUAAGAUGAGCCACACCCCUAUACCUGCAGAAAGAAACAGGCUGUGUGUGUGUGUGUGUGUGUGUGUGUGUGUGUGUGUGUGUGUGUGUGUGUGUGUGUGUGUGUGUGUGUGUGUGUGUGUGUGUGCGUGUGUGUCUGUGAGUGUGUGUGUGUGUGUGUGUGUGUGUGUGUGUGUGAAUGUGAUUCUACUCUGAGCAAAACAAGGGGACGAACCCAGUCAAUGACCAAUGAUUGGCAGUCUCUUCAAAAUAUGUGUGUGUACAUGUGUGUUUACAUAGAAGAUGGGCAGUACCCACACACACUGCUUGGCUUCCACUUUCACUUGCAGCUAGAGCAGGGUCCAAGGGUAGAUAGACAGUAGGGCUAGUUAGACCUCACGACAUGAUAUUAUCAGCAUACUUAGGUGCCGAUUCUAUAUGUACUGCGAUUCUCACUAUUCUCCUGAUUCUAUAUGUACU